CCAGAGUAAGAGAGGCAGACUGAGGGCAAGGUCAAACAGGGAGGGAAAUCAGUUCCUUUUGGGAUGUGGGUUGCAGGCCAGUGGUUGCUCAUAGUGGUGGGUAUAUGUCUCCCACAGAGGGAGCUGCUAAGGUAAGGAUGGCUUCAUUCAGAACUGUAUGUAGCCUGAUGGGGAACAGAGUUACCGUGGAACUAGACGGGUGUGAAGAGAAGUCAGGAAGGCCACAGCAGGUGGGGCUUUGAUGAGAGCCUUGGCAGCCACCAAGAAGGUCACCUCUCUUUCUAACUAGGGGGCCCCUAUGCCUGGAGGUCAGGUGACAGGAACUGUUUCAUGCAGCCACUUCUUUGCCACAGAUAAACACACAGAACAGCUGGCUCUCAGGCUGGGCAGGAAGUAUGCUUGUUGCAGUACUAGAAGCUUCUAUAAUAUCCAUGCAGUACCACUGCCAGGCUUUCCUGAGCCCUCUGGGAUGGGAGGGAUGGGACAGAGUGUCAGCAACAACUUGGCACUCACCUGUGCAGGACAACAGGCUUUUCCACAGGGUGACCCAGGAGCUCCUGGAUGUUGUCCCACUGUGAGACAGACAGAGCACAGGGGUUAGCUGGUGAUGACCCAGACAACAUGGCCUCGUACUGCCUGCAGGUUCAUGCCUGCCUCAUUCUCAGGCUCUGUCAAGAAAAUAGGCUCUCACCUUGCUAUAGGUUGUGCACGUUUCUGUCUGAUCGUCUGCAUUUUCUGAAAAAAGCACACAGGGUGAGUCGGUGACUGGCCCAGCCCUAGGUCUGACCCUGGCACAGGCUGCAGCACUUAAGGGGCACCCAAAGGCCAACUGGAGCUCGGGGGUGGAGAGCAGUCAGCCCGUGUGAGCCACAUUGGUUGGCAGGGAAUAGAAGGCACUCAGCAUGGGUGGUGAGCACUGGAGAGUUAUCCCAGGAAACGCUCCUCCACCUCCUGAGGACAGCAGUGCCGCAACCCUAGGAAAGGCCCUCUAGGACCUCCAAGAGCGGCGCGGUCUGCAGAUGAGGCGGCGGCCACGGAAGCAGGUAGGCAGAGGCUUUCCCCUGGGGAUUCAGAGUGGGAGUGGGAAACCGAGUCACAAGCACCCUCCUUACCCCCAGGGCACUCACUGCUCACCUUUCUUUAUGGCCAGUGGGAUCUUGAACUCACAGCGGUGAUAGCUACAGAGAAGGCAAAGAUGUAAGGGCAAGACUUCCUGGGAAGCCUGGGCACUGCUGCUUCCCAAUCCAGCCCCUGGGAAUAGCAGGAAUUCAGGGCAAAUAAAUCAAGGAACACCCAAAAGCCCAAGUUCUUUCUUGGGGUUUUUCAGCCCAAGGCUUCUUCCUAAGACACUACUUACAUGUUGAAGUUAUAGUGUCCAGGGUAAUUGGUAUGUAGGACAAACUUCUUCACCUUGUGUGUAUUUGCAUCAAACAGGAUGUCCUGGGAUAGAAAACAAGGUGCUUAAGUUGGAAAUGUCCCUGAGGCAGGACUGAGCUCUUUCCAAGAUCUUAUUCACAAGAGUGCCCGAGGCCAGGAAGCCCCAACUGGACACUUUCAGUGGGCAGAGGACCCAACCAUUGCUAGUUCAGGCAGACACAGGCUACACUCCCUGGAAAGUAAAAGGUGAAAGGAAAGCUUUACUGCCAGCUCUCCGUGGGAGUGAAAUUCCAGCCUGAUCUCUCAGAAGGGGUUGGCUCUAGACUUGGCAUUGGCCACUGGAUACCCUUCUACCUCUUUGCAGUUGCAGGUUCUGUCCUGGUCCGCAAGUACAGGGUUACCUAGGAUUCAGCCCUGGCCCAGUAAAUAGAUGUUACUGGGGCUGUGUCCCUCCAUCUUGCCUGUCAUCAGCUGUCACUGGGUCAGGCCCACAGGUCCCUUACAGCAGUACCAUGCUGCCCACAGCAGUAUAUGUCCCACAGCCAUUUGCCAACCCCUCCUGGCUACUGACAGGUCUCCCUCUCUGUCACCUACCCCUUACUGCCUCAAGAACUUGGAACCUAGAAGACCCAGCACUUAGAGGACCUGUACUUCAGCCAGCCCUGCGACAGUUCUUGCUGGUGCACUGCUGCCCCAAACGUUUCUCAUCCACAUGUGCUGUCCACCAGCAGUGACACUGACCCCUGGCUCCAUCCAGGACCCCAUGCCCGCUGUGCUGCCCCUGGGUGGGCCACUAAAAAUACCCUGGGUCUUUUCCAGAUUCCAGUGCUCUAUGAUAACCUGCGUUCUGGAGUCUCCAUGUUUUCCCUCAGAAAAGAAGUCAUGACACAGCAGGGAGCCUGUAUUCCUCAGCAUUCCAGAGGCAGGAAAGGUCAUGGGGCAAAGCCAUCGGUUCACUGUGGCCCAAGCCUGGCUGCUACCACACAUGUACACACAGAUUUAUAGAAGACUUUGUGUGGAGAGCCAAGCAUGCUAAGAACAUCUUGGCAGGAAUCACCAAAAUAUACUGAACGUUCAAACACCCGCAUCUUGGCAUCUGCUAACAGACCAGGGCCACAACCUGCAGAGAAGAAGGGAUGGACUGUCAGGAAUGGGGACCCCAGAGCCCCAAGCACUGGGACUACAUAGAGGAUACUUGGCUUAUAACCUGCCCAGGGAACUGAGCAAGCUUGAAGGUUGCCUCAGGAAGCAUGGCUGCAAUUCCUGGGCUGCUGCACGUGGGAGUCUUGCUAAUGUAAUGAAGCCAGUGAAUAAGGCUUCUCUGUAUCAAGCAGACAGUGGGAAAGAAGGCUCACCAGUAUUUUAACUUCACUUUAGUCAAGUCAUAUACUUCAAUCACCUAAGAGAAAAAAAGCUUGAGUUGUUAAUUAGUUUGAUUACAGACAAAACUGAACAGAUAUUUAUGGUAUAAAUAGUACAUUUAUGGGAAAAACACUCCCCAACUCUGCUCCCCUUAUUUCUCCCAGUGGACUGCUCAUGGAUCAAGGCCUGGGUAGCCAGUCCCCAGCUGAGUCGUACUGGGCAACACUCUCCCAAUCCCUCUCACCCAGGGCAGUAACACUUUCCAGAGAAACAGACGCAUGCAGCCUUCAAAGGCUCUGAAUGCAGAGCCCAUUCCUUCUACUCCAUACUUUGUUAUAUUAUAAAAACUCAAAUCUAGUUCCUUUUAAAAACAGCUUAUAAAAGUAUUUUCUUCACAAAAUAAAAAUAUGAAGGGACAGUUCUAUCUUGCAAGAAAACAGGGUACAAUACUGGCUUAGGCUAAAUGUGUGUUUGGUCAUGUCCCUAACAAGCAU
Molecule: long non-coding RNA, 3233 nt
Organism: Ochotona princeps (American pika)
Lineage: Eukaryota; Metazoa; Chordata; Mammalia; Lagomorpha; Ochotonidae
Exons: 3
Source: RefSeq, a predicted model, not a curated record